GACGAACGCUGGCGGCGUGCUUAACACAUGCAAGUCGAACGGAAAGGCCCCGCUUUUGUGGGGUGCUCGUGUGGCGAACGGGUGAGUAACACGUGAGUAACCUGCCCUUGACUGUGGGAUAACUUCAGGAAACUGGGGAUAAUACCGGAUAGGAGCUCCUGCUGCGUGGGGGGGGGGGGAGAGUUUCGGCGGUGGGGGAUGCACUCGCGGCUUCUCAGUUUGUUGGGGGGGUAGGGGCUCACCAGGGCUUGGAGGGGUAGCCGGCCUGAGAGGGUGACCGCCCACAUUGGGACUGGGAUAGGCCCCGGCUUCCUACGGGAGGCAGCAGUGGGGAAGUUUGCCCAAGGGUCGGAGGCCGGUUGCAGAACGCCCUCGGGCGGAAUACCGGCCUUCGGUUGGAAAACCGCUUUCGCCUGGACCGAAGCGUGAGUGACGGUAAUGGGUAAAGAAGCACCGGCUAACUACGUG
RNAcentral lists this ribosomal RNA (468 nucleotides) under uncultured bacterium. RNAcentral's name for it is "partial 16S ribosomal RNA". It matches the Rfam family "Bacterial small subunit ribosomal RNA", at positions 28 to 507 of the family's 1533-position model. The record is from RNAcentral.